Molecule: non-coding RNA, 28 nt
Filed under: Rattus norvegicus (Norway rat)
Lineage: Eukaryota; Metazoa; Chordata; Mammalia; Rodentia; Muridae
Source: RNAcentral
GCCAGCCUGGUCUACAUAGUGAGUUCCA